CAAGUCGAACGAACUCUGGUAUUGAUUGGUGCUUGCAUCAUGAUUUACAUUUGAGUGAGUGGCGAACUGGUGAGUAACACGUGGGAAACCUGCCCAGAAGCGGGGGAUAACACCUGGAAACAGAUGCUAAUACCGCAUAACAACUUGGACCGCAUGGUCCGAGCUUGAAAGAUGGCUUCGGCUAUCACUUUUGGAUGGUCCCGCGGCGUAUUAGCUAGAUGGUGGGGUAACGGCUCACCAUGGCAAUGAUACGUAGCCGACCUGAGAGGGUAAUCGGCCACAUUGGGACUGAGACACGGCCCAAACUCCUACGGGAGGCAGCAGUAGGGAAUCUUCCACAAUGGACGAAAGUCUGAUGGAGCAACGCCGCGUGAGUGAAGAAGGGUUUCGGCUCGUAAAACUCUGUUGUUAAAGAAGAACAUAUCUGAGAGUAACUGUUCAGGUAUUGACGGUAUUUAACCAGAAAGCCACGGCUAACUACGUGCCAGCAGCCGCGGUAAUACGUAGGUGGCAAGCGUUGUCCGGAUUUAUUGGGCGUAAAGCGAGCGCAGGCGGUUUUUUAAGUCUGAUGUGAAAGCCUUCGGCUCAACCGAAGAAGUGCAUCGGAAACUGGGAAACUUGAGUGCAGAAGAGGACAGUGGAACUCCAUGUGUAGCGGUGAAAUGCGUAGAUAUAUGGAAGAACACCAGUGGCGAAGGCGGCUGUCUGGUCUGUAACUGACGCUGAGGCUCGAAAGUAUGGGUAGCAAACAGGAUUAGAUACCCUGGUAGUCCAUACCGUAAACGAUGAAUGCUAAGUGUUGGAGGGUUUCCGCCCUUCAGUGCUGCAGCUAACGCAUUAAGCAUUCCGCCUGGGGAGUACGGCCGCAAGGCUGAAACUCAAAGGAAUUGACGGGGGCCCGCACAAGCGGUGGAGCAUGUGGUUUAAUUCGAAGCUACGCGAAGAACCUUACCAGGUCUUGACAUACUAUGCAAAUCUAAGAGAUUAGACGUUCCCUUCGGGGACAUGGAUACAGGUGGUGCAUGGUUGUCGUCAGCUCGUGUCGUGAGAUGUUGGGUUAAGUCCCGCAACGAGCGCAACCCUUAUUAUCAGUUGCCAGCAUUAAGUUGGGCACUCUGGUGAGACUGCCGGUGACAAACCGGAGGAAGGUGGGGAUGACGUCAAAUCAUCAUGCCCCUUAUGACCUGGGCUACACACGUGCUACAAUGGAUGGUACAACGAGUUGCGAACUCGCGAGAGUAAGCUAAUCUCUUAAAGCCAUUCUCAGUUCGGAUUGUAGGCUGCAACUCGCCUACAUGAAGUCGGAAUCGCUAGUAAUCGCGGAUCAGCAUGCCGCGGUGAAUACGUUCCCGGGCCUUGUACACACCGCCCGUCACACCAUGAGAGUUUGUAACACCCAAAGUCGGUGGGGUAACCUUUUAGGAACCAGCCGCCU
RNAcentral lists this ribosomal RNA (1435 nucleotides) under Lactiplantibacillus plantarum. Its description in RNAcentral is "bacterial SSU rRNA". It matches the Rfam family "Bacterial small subunit ribosomal RNA". The record is from RNAcentral. Lineage: Bacteria; Bacillati; Bacillota; Bacilli; Lactobacillales; Lactobacillaceae.